AGAGUUUGAUCCUGGCUCAGAACGAACGCUGGCGGCAUGCCUAACACAUGCAAGUCGAACGAAGCCUUCGGGCUUAGUGGCGCACGGGUGCGUAACGCGUGGGAAUCUGCCCUUGGGUACGGAAUAACAGUGAGAAAUUACUGCUAAUACCGUAUGAUGUCUUCGGACCAAAGAUUUAUCGCCCAGGGAUGAGCCCGCGUAGGAUUAGCUAGUUGGUGAGGUAAAGGCUCACCAAGGCUACGAUCCUUAGCUGGUCUGAGAGGAUGAUCAGCCACACUGGGACUGAGACACGGCCCAGACUCCUACGGGAGGCAGCAGUGGGGAAUAUUGGACAAUGGGCGAAAGCCUGAUCCAGCAAUGCCGCGUGAGUGAAGAAGGCCUUCGGGUUGUAAAGCUCUUUUACCCGGGAAGAUAAUGACCGUACCGGGAGAAUAAGCCCCGGCUAACUCCGUGCCAGCAGCCGCGGUAAUACGGAGGGGGCUAGCGUUGUUCGGAAUCACUGAGCGUAAAGCGUGCGUAGGCGGCCAUUCAAGUCAGAGGUGAAAUCCCAGGG
This 553-nucleotide ribosomal RNA is filed under the name uncultured freshwater bacterium. Its description in RNAcentral is "bacterial SSU rRNA". It matches the Rfam family "Bacterial small subunit ribosomal RNA", at positions 8 to 607 of the family's 1533-position model. The record is from RNAcentral.